CGGUGGGAGGUUGCGGGGCGGGGACCCUGGCUUAGCAGCGCUGGGAGGAGAGCGCGGGCCGAAGAAAAGAAACAAUGACGGGGAGAAACUGUCUGCAAACUAUGGCUAGAACGGUCUUCCAGUGUCCCGCCGGCCUUGAGCGCUGAGCUCUAGAGCAAGCUUGGAAGAUACUGAGUCCCAUUUCUCGGAAGUCUACCACCCAGAGAGGUGGAUGGCCCGGGACCCACUCAGGUUUUAACCUUGCUGCCACCGCAGAGGAGUGUUCUUGUCUCUCAUCUGGCUAGCUGGCUGCUCCGAGAGGGCAGAGAGAGCCCGUGGCUACCUGUGCCCAGGAGGGGAUUUUAGAGGAAGGAGCCAGACAAGGAUAUCCCUUCCUCUGCUGUGACCAAAGGAAAUCAAGCCUGGCCUUGUGGUGCACGUGCAUAAUCCCAGCACUCCGGAGGCUGAGGCAGGAAGAUCACUGUGAGUUCACAGUCACCUGGACUACCUAGCCGGACCCUGUCUCAAAAAAACCAAAAAAUAAACAUUUUUGAGAAGAAAUAAAAGCAAAA
Chinchilla lanigera (long-tailed chinchilla) is the source of this 551-nucleotide long non-coding RNA. RefSeq lists it as uncharacterized. The record is from RefSeq and is a predicted model, not a curated record. Lineage: Eukaryota; Metazoa; Chordata; Mammalia; Rodentia; Chinchillidae. The transcript is spliced from 3 exons.